RNAcentral lists this transfer RNA (57 nucleotides) under Heterocephalus glaber (naked mole-rat). It matches the Rfam family "tRNA", at positions 8 to 63 of the family's 71-position model. Rfam says of the family: Transfer RNA (tRNA) molecules are approximately 80 nucleotides in length. Their secondary structure includes four short double-helical elements and three loops (D, anti-codon, and T loops). The record is from Rfam by way of RNAcentral. Lineage: Eukaryota; Metazoa; Chordata; Mammalia; Rodentia; Bathyergidae.
UAGCUCAGUGGUAGAGUGCUUGCCUAAUAUGCAGGAUGGCCUGGGUUCAAUUCUCAG